CAGCCGCCACGGGAAUACGAAGGGGGCUAGCGUUGCUCGGAAUUACUGGGCGUAAAGGGAGCGUAGGCGGACAUUUAAGUCAGGGGUGAAAUCCCAGAGCUCAACUCUGGAACUGCCUUUGAUACUGGGUGUCUUGAGUGUGAUAGAGGUAUGUGGAACUCCGAGUGUAGAGGUGAAAUUCGUAGAUAUUCGGAAGAACACCAGUGGCGAAGGCGACAUACUGGAUCAUUACUGACGCUGAGGCUCGAAAGCGUGGGGAGCAAACAGGAUUAGAGACCCGCGUAGUCCCUGUCUCUUAUAC
Molecule: ribosomal RNA, 301 nt
Filed under: uncultured bacterium
Lineage: Bacteria
Description: partial 16S ribosomal RNA
Rfam family: Bacterial small subunit ribosomal RNA
Source: RNAcentral